UCUUCGGAUGCUAGUGGCAGACGGGUGAGUAACACGUGGGAACGUACCUUUCGGUUCGGAAUAAUACAGGGAAACUUGUACUAAUACCGGAUACGCCCUUCGGGGGAAAGAUUUAUCGCCGAUAGAUCGGCCCGCGUCUGAUUAGCUAGUUGGUGAGGUAAUGGCUCACCAAGGCGACGAUCAGUAGCUGGUCUGAGAGGAUGAUCAGCCACACUGGGACUGAGACACGGCCCAGACUCCUACGGGAGGCAGCAGUGGGGAAUAUUGGACAAUGGGCGAAAGCCUGAUCCAGCCAUGCCGCGUGUGUGAUGAAGGCCUUAGGGUUGUAAAGCACUUUUGUCCGGGAAGAUAAUGACUGUACCGGAAGAAUAAGCCCCGGCUAACUUCGUGCCAGCAGCCGCGGUAAUACGAAGGGGGCUAGCGUUGCUCGGAAUCACUGGGCGUAAAGGGCGCGUAGGCGGACUCUUAAGUCGGGGGUGAAAGCCCAGGGCUCAACCCUGGAAUUGCCUUCGAUACUGAGAGUCUUGAGUUCGGAAGAGGUUGGUGGAACUGCGAGUGUAGAGGUGAAAUUCGUAGAUAUUCGCAAGAACACCAGUGGCGAA
This 602-nucleotide ribosomal RNA is filed under the name Afipia sp. H6.72. RNAcentral's name for it is "bacterial SSU rRNA". It matches the Rfam family "Bacterial small subunit ribosomal RNA", at positions 82 to 719 of the family's 1533-position model. Lineage: Bacteria; Pseudomonadati; Pseudomonadota; Alphaproteobacteria; Hyphomicrobiales; Nitrobacteraceae. The record is from RNAcentral.